RNAcentral lists this unclassified non-coding RNA (288 nucleotides) under Hevea brasiliensis (rubber tree). The record is from RNAcentral. Lineage: Eukaryota; Viridiplantae; Streptophyta; Magnoliopsida; Malpighiales; Euphorbiaceae.
AAAGUAAAAACUGCUGAUCAGUUGACAUAGAUCAUAGACCAUUUUGCAAGCAAAUAUGCCAGCAAAGACAGAGGUAUAAGGUAUAAAAGGAUCUGCUAACAAAUAAGUUUUAACCAGGGUCUCAGCCUGACUCUGAUAAGAUCUAAAUGCCACUAUAUUCCGUGCAGGAGCUGCCUUUCUACCGAUUGCAGUUGUCAUGUCUUUAGCUCUCUUCUUAAAAACCAUCUAUGUUUAUACAAUGAAGAUCACCUAUACAUGUAAACUGCAAUAUAUACCAGAGCUUCCCCG